GACGAACGCUGGCGGCGUGCCUAACACAUGCAAGUCGAGCGAGGUUGCGGAUGGGUGCUUGCACCCUGAAGCUACCUAGCGGCGGACGGGUGAGUAACGCGUGAGUAACCUGCCUUAUACAGGGGGAUAACAACGAGAAAUCGUUGCUAAUACCGCAUAAGACCACGGUAUCGCAUGGUACAGGGGUAAAAGGAGCAAUCCGGUAUAAGAUGGACUCGCGUCCCAUUAGCUAGUUGGUGAGAUAACAGCCCACCAAGGCAACGAUGGGUAGCCGACCUGAGAGGGUGAUCGGCCACACUGGGACUGAGACACGGCCCAGACUCCUACGGGAGGCAGCAGUGGGGAAUAUUGGGCAAUGGGCGAAAGCCUGACCCAGCAACGCCGCGUGAAGGAAGAAGGUCUUCGGAUUGUAAACUUCUGUCGUCAGGGACGAAAAAGGACGGUAACCUGGCAAGAAAGCCCCGGCUAACUACGUG
This 476-nucleotide ribosomal RNA is filed under the name uncultured bacterium. RNAcentral's name for it is "bacterial SSU rRNA". It matches the Rfam family "Bacterial small subunit ribosomal RNA", at positions 28 to 507 of the family's 1533-position model. The record is from RNAcentral.